GAUGAACGCUGGCGGCGUGCUUAAUACAUGCAAGUCGAACGGAAAGGCCCUGCUUUUGCGGGGUUCUCGAGUGGCGCACGGGUGAGUAACACGUGAGUAACCCGUCCUUGAAUUUGUGAUAACUUCAGGAAAAUGGGGCUAAUACCGGAUAGGAUCUCUUGCUGCAUGGUGGGGGUUGGAAAGUUUCGGUGGUUGUGGAUGGACUCGCGGCUUAUCAGCUUGUUGGGCGGGUAGUGGCUGACAAAGGGUUUGACGGGUAGCCGGCAUGGGAGGGUGAACGGGCUCAAUGGGACUGAGGGAGGGACCAGACUCCUACGGGAGGCAGUAGUGGGGAGUAUUGCACAAUGGGGGGAAGCGUGAUGCAGAAACGCCGGGUGCGGGAUGACGGCCUUCGGGUUGUAAACAGCUUUCGAAUGUGACGAAGACUGAGUGACGGUAAUGGGUAAAAAAGCACCGGCUAACUACGUG
RNAcentral lists this ribosomal RNA (468 nucleotides) under uncultured bacterium. Its description in RNAcentral is "partial 16S ribosomal RNA". It matches the Rfam family "Bacterial small subunit ribosomal RNA", at positions 28 to 507 of the family's 1533-position model. The record is from RNAcentral.